This 88-nucleotide transfer RNA is filed under the name Tongtianella jiaweipingae. Its description in RNAcentral is "Actinomyces sp. zg-332 tRNA-Ser". It matches the Rfam family "tRNA". Rfam says of the family: Transfer RNA (tRNA) molecules are approximately 80 nucleotides in length. The record is from RNAcentral. Lineage: Bacteria; Bacillati; Actinomycetota; Actinomycetes; Actinomycetales; Actinomycetaceae.
GGAGAGUUGUCAGAGCGGCCGAAUGAGACGGUCUUGAAAACCGUUGUACGGUAACCCCGUACCGUGGGUUCAAAUCCCACACUCUCCG